UCGUGCAACGGAGGCGUAAGGGCUGUCGCUGACCUUCAAAGGUCGUGCACGCUCGAGCGCUCUCUCACAUCCAUCUCACCCACCCCCCUUUGUGCAUCACCGCGUGGGCCCCUCUCUUUGCGGAGAGGGUCUGCGUUUUCACAUAAAAACUCUAAUGUCGUGUAUAGAAUGUCUUUUUCGUGGUCACACGCGAUCAAUA
Molecule: unclassified non-coding RNA, 199 nt
Filed under: uncultured Russulaceae
Lineage: Eukaryota; Fungi; Basidiomycota; Agaricomycetes; Russulales; Russulaceae
Description: sequence contains ITS1
Source: RNAcentral